GUCAUUGCCUCUGCGCAUGAUGUGAUAAUUAUCACUCAUCAAUAGCACGCAUGAAUAAGAGUCCAGCUCUCUAAUCGUCCGUAAGGACAAUUUGACAAUUUGACCUCAAAUCAGGUAGGACUACCCGCUGAACUUAAGCAUAUCAAUAAGCGGAGGAAAAGAAACUAACAAGGAUUCCCCUAGUAACUGCGAGUGAAGCGGGAAAAGCUCAAAUUUAAAAUCUGGUGGUCUUUGGCCAUCCGAGUUGUAAUCUAGAGAAGUGUUAUCCGCGUUGGACCGUGUACAAGUCCCCUGGAAUGGGGCGUCAUAGAGGGUGAGAAUCCCGUCUUUGACACGGACUACCAAGGCUUUGUGAUGCACUCUCAAAGAGUCGAGUUGUUUGGGAAUGCAGCUCAAAAUGGGUGGUAAAUUCCAUCUAAAGCUAAAUAUUGGCGAGAGACCGAUAGCGAACAAGUACCGUGAGGGAAAGAUGAAAAGAACUUUGGAAAGAGAGUUAAACAGUACGUGAAAUUGUUGAAAGGGAAACGCUUGAAGUCAGUCGCGUCUGCCAGGGAUCAACCUUACUUUUGUGAGGCGUACUUCCUGGUUGAUGGGUCAGCAUCAGUUUUGGUCGCUGGAUAAAGGUCAGAGAAAUGUGGCACCUUCGGGUGUGUUAUAGUCUUUGAUCAGAUACAGUGGCUGGGACUGAGGAA
This 692-nucleotide ribosomal RNA is filed under the name Pleurotus sp. Y-RN3. RNAcentral describes it as "eukaryotic LSU rRNA". The stretch from base 101 to 692 matches the Rfam family "Eukaryotic large subunit ribosomal RNA", at positions 1 to 593 of the family's 3401-position model. The record is from RNAcentral. Lineage: Eukaryota; Fungi; Basidiomycota; Agaricomycetes; Agaricales; Pleurotaceae.